UCUGUUUAAUUCAAAUAAUGUACAUCCCUAAUCCUGACACAAAUCCUCACCAUAUCACCAAUGUUACACCAAUAAUGUGAUGAAUACAGUAUAUAAGUCUCUGUGUUAAUUGUAUAGAAAUGUUAAUGGAUUAGAACUAGAUUCCCUCUGUAAACCUUACAGCUUUGAUUACUGUACAAACUGCUUUUAUAGGUCAUGUAGUAGUUAAUAAUGUAUUUUAUGCAAAUCUUCCUCUCAUCACCCUUACAUUAGGUAGGGCUGUGUGUGUGAGUGUGUGUGGUGAAGAGGACAGCAGCUGAGCAGUUUAAUUCACUUCAGUUUUAAACCAAACAAAGAUGCUCUCCUCAGUGCUGCUGCUAACAGCUGCAUUCUGUGGUGGUGGAGGUGUGGAGCUCACUCAGCCAGCCUCUGUACUUGUGAAACCUGGAGAGUCGUUCUCUAUCUCUUGCAAGACUUCAGAGUCAAGCUAUUGUAUUGGCUGGAUACGUCAACCUGCUGGGAAAACACUUGAAUGGCUCGGAUAUCUGUGUAGUGGUGGUAGCACUAAUCUCAAAGAUACAAU
Molecule: long non-coding RNA, 562 nt
Organism: Silurus meridionalis
Lineage: Eukaryota; Metazoa; Chordata; Actinopteri; Siluriformes; Siluridae
Exons: 2
Source: RefSeq, a predicted model, not a curated record